GAUGAACGCUGGCGGCGUGCCUAAUACAUGCAAGUCGAGCGAACAGACGAGGAGCUUGCUCCUCUGACGUUAGCGGCGGACGGGUGAGUAACACGUGGAUAACCUACCUAUAAGACUGGGAUAACUUCGGGAAACCGGAGCUAAUACCGGAUAAUAUAUUGAACCGCAUGGUUCAAUAGUGAAAGACGGUUUUGCUGUCACUUAUAGAUGGAUCCGCGCCGCAUUGGCUAGUUGGUAAGGUAACGGCUUACCAAGGCAACGAUGCGUAGCCGACCUGAGAGGGUGAUCGGCCACACUGGAACGGAGACACGGUCCAGACUCCUACGGGAGGCAGCAGUAGGGAAUCUUCCGCAAUGGGCGAAAGCCUGACGGAGCAACGCCGCGUGAGUGAUGAAGGUCUUCGGAUCGUAAAACUCUGUUAUUAGGGAAGAACAAAUGUGUAAGUAACUAUGCACGUCUUGACGGUACCUAAUCAGAAAGCCACGGCUAACUACGUG
This 497-nucleotide ribosomal RNA is filed under the name uncultured bacterium. RNAcentral's name for it is "partial 16S ribosomal RNA". It matches the Rfam family "Bacterial small subunit ribosomal RNA", at positions 28 to 507 of the family's 1533-position model. The record is from RNAcentral.